RNAcentral lists this transfer RNA (91 nucleotides) under Bacterioplanes sanyensis. RNAcentral's name for it is "tRNA-Met". It matches the Rfam family "tRNA". From Rfam's summary of the family: Transfer RNA (tRNA) molecules are approximately 80 nucleotides in length. Their secondary structure includes four short double-helical elements and three loops (D, anti-codon, and T loops). The record is from RNAcentral. Lineage: Bacteria; Pseudomonadati; Pseudomonadota; Gammaproteobacteria; Oceanospirillales; Oceanospirillaceae.
CGCGGGGUGGAGCAGCCUGGUAGCUCGUCGGGCUCAUAACCCGAAGGUCGUCGAGCUGGGCGCCCCCGUUCGAAUCCGGCCCCCGCAACCA